Prionailurus viverrinus (fishing cat) is the source of this 576-nucleotide long non-coding RNA. RefSeq lists it as uncharacterized. The transcript is spliced from 4 exons. The record is from RefSeq and is a predicted model, not a curated record. NCBI's taxonomy places the organism in Eukaryota, Metazoa, Chordata, Mammalia, Carnivora, Felidae.
GCCGCGACGCCCGCGAAGCCUGGAGCCCGCUGCAGCCGCCACCGGAUCCCGGGAUGGGACGAGAGACUGCGGAGGAAGCCAGCAUCUCCCAGCCUGGAGCUCCGGGGGCCGCGGAGCCAACGCCGCCGCCGCCGCUGUUGCCUCUGCUGCUGAGACCAGGCUGGAGAUGGUGGGACAUUUGGGCACUUGCGGCCCUUUUCCGGAAUGCUCUCGGGAUCUAGCAGAGGGAAAAGACUAAUCAGAGGAGCAAGAACAGACUGGCGGCUCCAUAUGAAGGAGCAGGCCCCAGUGCCUACAGCCCUGCAUGGUGCCCUGUGCCAUUUGGUCUCCUCCGGACCAUCAGCCAUGCUGCUCAGAGCGCUUUGAAGGCUGGAGCCCUUCCCCGUGUCUCUGCUCUCCACCACUUCGCUCCCAUUGUGGGGGACCCGUCGAGUUCCUGUACAUGAGCCACCUCAUCGGGGUGUGCCUUGCCCAGUCAGGACUAGACUUUUUCCAACCCCAGACCAGUUGUGAGAGCCCAGCAGCACUGACUGCAGCUGCAGAUAUGGAACCUGCCCCGCAUCCCAGGUAUAAAUC